This is a small nuclear RNA of Hemicordylus capensis (graceful crag lizard), 108 nucleotides long. The record is from RefSeq and is a predicted model, not a curated record. Lineage: Eukaryota; Metazoa; Chordata; Lepidosauria; Squamata; Cordylidae.
CUGUUCCAUAACAAGAGAAGAUACAGAGAUACAGAGAACAUACAGAAAAGAUUAGCAUGGCCCCUGUGCAAGGAUGACACGCAAAUUUGUGAAGCGUUCCAUAUUUUU